Long non-coding RNA from Phacochoerus africanus (Common warthog), 962 nucleotides. RefSeq lists it as uncharacterized. NCBI's taxonomy places the organism in Eukaryota, Metazoa, Chordata, Mammalia, Artiodactyla, Suidae. The transcript has 4 exons. The record is from RefSeq and is a predicted model, not a curated record.
CCCGUGAUAGAGUGGGGGCUGGCCUCACUAGCUGUCCCGGAACGGCUGCUCAUACGUCUGGCAUCACAGAGACCAGCCUGCCUUACUUUGUCUCGGUUCAUGGAAUCGUGUUGGCCAGAUAGACUGGGAACAAGUGAAGGAGUUGUGUCUUCUCCCUAAACAGAACAGCUUGUAGCUUUGUCAUAAUUGCUCUGUGCAACCAGCCACUCUACUAUCGCGAGUCGAAGUCACAAUGCGUGUUAUUUAAGGAUCCCAGCAGCAGGCACAUUCUGGAGUCAACCUGCGUGGAGAGCCCGGCCUCAGAAGGGGUAGGAGUGGAAAAGAAGGGAGUGUGCAUGAAGCGGAUUUGAGGCUGGAGUGGGCAGGCUACAUCAUCAAUCUGAUGUGGAUAAAAUGUAGAACAUUAAACACACGUAAGACCCCAGUUCCAGAAGUAGAAAGGGAGCUUAGAGUGAGAAUGGAGGACUAGAGCAGAUGCUUCGAAUCCCAGGACACAGGAUUGGGUAUCAUCCAUCUGAACAAAGACUUCAAGGAGGAAGGAAGCCACCUUGUCUACUACGGAGAGACACAUCCCUCUAAACAACGAGCAGCGGACAGCUUCCACCUCAAAGAUGGAAGCUGAAAAUCUCUGCCCAGUGUGCUGGGGACAUCACCAAAAUGUUUGGUUCUGCUGGGGCAGGAAAGUAGCACAAUGCUCAAGGAAAAGGUUAUCUGUUCCCUUUCCUGUAUGUACCAACUACAAACCUGAGGACAGACUUCAAGGGAAAUCUUGGAACAAUACCCACUUUCUAAAAAUACAGAGAGGAAGAGAGAAGAGCACUUUGAACUGAACUUGGAGAAUUUUGAGUGCAUAUCUGAGUGCCGAACAACCUCCAGUCACAUGAGGGUUAUCUGAAGCCCAGGAAUCCUGUUUGUACCCAGCACUCAUUUUUUCAAGUUGAAAAAUAAAAGAAAGCAGAAGU